This 253-nucleotide ribosomal RNA is filed under the name uncultured bacterium. RNAcentral's name for it is "partial 16S ribosomal RNA". It matches the Rfam family "Bacterial small subunit ribosomal RNA", at positions 524 to 776 of the family's 1533-position model. The record is from RNAcentral.
GACGAACCGUCCAAACGUUAUUCGGAAUCACUGGGCUUACAGGGUGCGUAGGCGGCUAUUCAGGUCAGGUGUGAAAGCCCCCGGCUCAACCGGGGAACUGCGCUUGAAACCGAGUGGCUCGAGUCAGCUAGAGGUACACGGAACUUCCAGUGGAGCGGUGAAAUGUGUUGAUAUUGGAAGGAACACCGGAGGCGAAAGCGGUGUACUGGGGCUGGUCUGACGCUGAGGCACGAAAGCCAGGGGAGCGAACGGG